This 643-nucleotide ribosomal RNA is filed under the name uncultured Actinomycetes bacterium. Its description in RNAcentral is "bacterial SSU rRNA". It matches the Rfam family "Bacterial small subunit ribosomal RNA", at positions 232 to 885 of the family's 1533-position model. The record is from RNAcentral. Lineage: Bacteria; Bacillati; Actinomycetota; Actinomycetes.
CGCGGCCUAUCAGCUUGUUGGUGAGGUAAUGGCUCACCAAGGCGUCGACGGGUAGCCGGCCUGAGAGGGUGACCGGCCACACUGGGACUGAGACACGGCCCAGACUCCUACGGGAGGCAGCAGUGGGGAAUAUUGCACAAUGGGCGGAAGCCUGAUGCAGCAACGCCGCGUGAGGGACGACGGCCUUCGGGUUGUAAACCUCUUUUAGCAAGGAAGAAGCGAAAGUGACGGUACUUGCAGAAAAAGCGCCGGCUAACUACGUGCCAGCAGCCGCGGUAAUACGUAGGGCGCAAGCGUUAUCCGGAAUUAUUGGGCGUAAAGAGCUCGUAGGCGGUUUGUCGCGUCUGCUGUGAAAUCUGGGGGCUCAACCCCCAGCCUGCAGUGGGUACGGGCAGACUAGAGUGCGGUAGGGGAGAUUGGAAUUCCUGGUGUAGCGGUGGAAUGCGCAGAUAUCAGGAGGAACACCGAUGGCGAAGGCAGAUCUCUGGGCCGUAACUGACGCUGAGGAGCGAAAGGGUGGGGGGCAAACAGGCUUAGAUACCCUGGUAGUCCACCCCGUAAACGUUGGGAACUAGUUGUGGGGUCCAUUCCACGGAUUCCGUGACGCAGCUAACGCAUUAAGUUCCCCGCCUGGGGAGUACGG